RNAcentral lists this long non-coding RNA (9349 nucleotides) under Homo sapiens (human). RNAcentral describes it as "non-protein coding lnc-IGLL1-1:13". Lineage: Eukaryota; Metazoa; Chordata; Mammalia; Primates; Hominidae. The record is from RNAcentral.
AGACUGCGGCCGAGACGGGGAGGGGGAAGCCUCGCCUGGGGGGCGGCAGUGGCCUGGGCGGCUCUCCGGCUGCUGUUGUAUGGCUGCACGUUGGCGCUACCGGACGGGAUGCUGUAUCCCCGAGAGAGCCCGUCGUGGCAGCGCAAGCAGCUGGACGGCCUCUGAAGCUUCCGCGCCGACUUCUCCGACAACCGACGCCGGGGCUUCGAGGAGCAGAGGUACCGGCGACCGCUGUCGGAGGCGCGGACUCGGGGCAGGGCCAGGAGUCGCCCGGAAGCCCGGCGGUGGGAAUGGGUCAGGCCCCACCGUGGACAUGCCGGUUCCCUCCAGCUUCAACGACAUCGGCCAGGGCUGGCGGCUGCGGCAUUUUGUCAGCUGGUUGUGGUAUGAACGGGAGGUGACCCUGCUGGAGCGAUGGAUCCAGGACCUGUGCACAAGAGUGGUGCUGAGGAUUGGCAGUGCCCACUUCUAUGCCAUCGUGGUAUCCCAAGGGUUACUUUGUCCAGAACACAGACUUUGACUUCUUCAGCUACGCAGGACUGCUGUGGUCUCUGCUUCUAUACACGACACCCCCCACCUACAUCGAUGACGUCACCGUCACCACCGGCGUGAAGCGAGACAGUGGUGAGGGCUUCUGGACUGGAUGGAGGACCUGAAGACGUGAGGUGGAGGCACAGGUAGAAGAGAAGAUUCUCACCAUCGCUGAUUCACACAAAAGCAUUUCUCCAAGUGGUUGCAGAUGACAUGAUUUCCCAAAGUGUUAGAGCUGAAGUGUGUUUCCUUGUGUAUAUAUACUGUGGUUCCUUUAUCCCUUCAUCUGUGGAUAGACAGGUGCAACCGUGUGGUUCCCCACGAUAUGAUUUCAUUGUGGUUUUCUGUCUGAAGAGUAUCCCAGUAUGUACCUGUGGAGCAGCUUCUUUAUCCCUUCAUCUGUGGAUAAGCAGUGCAGGCCAAGGCCCCCUGCCCAUGGAGGUGUGCUGCAGACAGCAGCAGCAGCAGCAGCAGCAGCAGCAGCAGCAGCAGAGGCCUGGCUUCCUGAGGAAUUGCUGGCCGGUUUGAGGAAGGAAGGAAGUCCCACCUACCAUGAUCACCCUCCAGCCUGGAGGAAGCUCCAUGCCAGCAGCAUGGACCAGCAUGGGAGCCAGAGCCCUGCUAAUGCUGCAGCUCAUCACCCCUGCUCAGCAGCCCAGCAGCCCAGCAGCCAUUGCCACAUCCCAUUUCCAGGGCCUCCUGCCCCCAUGCCCCCACGUGCCCAUGGACCGACACACCACUCUUCCUGUUGGCCCAAGUCUGGAGAAACAGCUACGGCCAUCCCAGCCCUGGCCAAGGGGAAAAUGCCGGAAGACUCCAGGGUGGGAGGAAGCGCGUCCCAAGGCCCAGGAUCUGCGAGGCGACUUGGGGAAAACGCAGGCAGGAUCCACCUCUGAUGUUCAGUGAAGACUACCAGAAAAGUCUGCUAGAGCAGUACCAUCUGGGUCUGGAUCAAAAACUCAGAAAAUACGUGGUUGGAGAGCUCAUCUGGAAUUUUGCCGAUUUCAUGACUAACCAGUGUAAGCGGCAGUUUGGCUCAUAGGAUAAUGUACCCGUCCUCAUUUUUUCAGGUUGCCUUGCCCAUUCUGGACACUUUGAUUGUAAGAAUAUUGGAAACAAAGCGAGGAGCUGGUUUAAUCCAUGCAGGUUGCGUUGAGGAUUUCCUAGGAAAACCAAGGAGGAAGGAAAAACUGGACCUCAUGGAUUUACUUUAGGAAGGUACAAAGCCUGAGAAGCUUAAGGUAUUUCAGUCUGUUUUAUAUUACUCACUUGCAAAAAGCAGGCUCAUCGAAUACAGGUGAGUUUCAACACAUCUUGAAUAUGGCAGCAUUUAAAAGUCUUUAGACUGGGCAUGGUGACUCAUGCCUGUAAUCCCAGCACUUUGGGAGGCCAAGGUGGGAGGAUCAUUUGAGGCCAGGAGUUCGAGACCAGUCUGCUAAGCAUAGCAAGACCCCUUCUCUACAAAAAGUAAGCAAAUUAGCUAGGUGUGGUGGUGUGUUCCUGUAGUUCCAGCUGCUUGGGUGGCUGAGGCAGGCAGAUCGCCUGAGCACAGGAGUUGGGGGCUGCAGUGAGCUAUGAUUACACCACUGCACUUGAGCCAGGGUGACAGAGUGAGACCUGUCUUAAAAAAAAAAAAAAGGGGGUCUUCAAAGACAAGAACAUCUGUGCUGUCACGUUGGGUGGAUGAGGGGCUGCCAGGUUUGCAAUGAAUGUUUCCCAUUUCUUCUUAGUUUAUGGACUUACCAUAAACUCAGGAUGGCAGUUUGGUGGGUUGGAGAAGGAUAUGGUGAUUGCGGGAGUUACAAGACAUUACUUAUAGGGGAAAACAGGGUUUUGAAAGGUUAACGCUUAAAAGUGAGAAUGGAAAAGGGAUGAAUGAAUGAACAAGAUGAGGUGAGAUGGAAGAGGUAAAGGGAAAAGGAGAACAAGCAGCUCUUCUCUGCGUGGCGCCUGGGAUGAAUGGUUUCUGGGGACAUCCCUGAUGGCAGUUUUGUGGAGAGGCGCAAAACUUUAUGUGGUAAGAAAUGAGCUGUAGGCCCAGCGCAGUGACCCACGCCUGUAAUCCCAGAACUUUGGGAGGCCGAGGAGGGCGGAUCACUUGAGGUCAGGAGUUCAAGACCAGCCUGGCCAACAUGGAGAAACCUUGUCUCUACUAAAAGUACAAAAAUUAGGCAGGCGUGGUGGCAAGUGCCUGUAAUCCCAGUUACUCGGAAGGCUAAGGCAUGAGAAUCGCUUGAACCCGGGAGGUGGAGGUUGCGGUGAGGGAAGAUCGCACCUUUGCACUCCAGCCUGGGCAACAAGAGCAAAACUCUGUUUUAAGAAAAAAAAAAAGAAAACAAAAGAAACGGGCCAGGCGGGCUGGGCGCAGUGGGUCAGGCCUGUUAUCCCAGCACUUUGGGAAGCCGAGGUGGGCGGAUCACGAGGUCAGGAGUUGGAGACCAGCCUGGCCAACAUGGUGAAAUCCCGUCUCUACUAAAAAUACAAAAAUUAUCUGGGCAUGGUGGCUGCUGCCUGUAAUUCCAGAUACUUGUUAGGCUGAGGCAGAAUUGCUUGAAUCCAGGCAAGUGAAGGUUGCAGUGAGGCCACUGCACUCCAGUCUGGGCAACAGAGUGAGACUCCAUAUCUAAAAAUAAAAUAAAAUGGAGGAGGAGGAAGAGGAAGAGGAGAAAAAAGAAGAAGAAACAGCUAGGUGCAGUGGCUCAUGCCUGUAAUCUCAGCAAUUUGGGAGGUGGAGGAGGAGCAGGAGGAGGAAAAGGAAACAACCAGGCCAGUCAUGGUGUCUCGUGCCUACGAGGAGGAGGAGGAAGCGGAGGAGGGGAAAAAAAAGGAGGAGGAAAAAGAAACGGAGCAGAAGGAGUUGGAGGAGGAGGAGGUGGAGGAGGAGGAGGGAAAAGAAAUGGAGCAGGAGGAGGAGGGAAAAGAAAUGGAAGAGGAGGAGCAGGAGGAAAAUGAAAUGGAGGAGGAGGAGGAGGAAAAAGAAAUGGAGGAGGAAAAAGAAACAGGAGGAGGAAAAAGAAACGGAGGAGGAAGAGGAGGAGGAGGACAAAGAAACAGCCAGGCCGGACGUGGUGGCUCACCCCUGUAGUCCCAGCUGCUCGGGAGGCUGAGGCAGAAGAAUCGCUUCAACCCGGGAGGCAGAGUUUGCGUGAGCCGAGAUCGUGCCACUGCAUUCCAGCCUGGAGACAGAGUGAGACUCCAUCUCAUCUCAAAAAAAACAAAAGAAAACAAAACAAAAACAAAAAAACAGCCAGGAGCCGUGGCUCACGCCUGUAAUCCUAGCAAUUUGGGAGGCGAUAAGAAUUAUUGAAAUGCAAUAAGAAUUACCGAAAUGUUGAACAAAGACACCAAGUGAGCACGUGCUGUUGGAAAAAUAGCACCAAUACUACACUAGCUCAACACAAGGUUGCCACAAUCCUGUAAUAUAUUAAAAAUUGGGCCAGGCAAGGGGCCGGGAGGGGUGGCUCACACCUGUAAUCUCAGCACUUUGGGAGGCCAAGGCAGGCGGAUCACCUGAGGUCAGGAGCUCCAGACCAGCCUGGCCAACAUGGUAAAACCCCAUCUCUACUAAAAAUACAAAAAUUGGCUGGGGGUGGUGGUGGGUGCCUGUAAUCCUAGCUACUAUGUAGGCUGAGGCAGGAGAACCACUUGAACCCGGGAGGUGGAGGUUACAGUGAGCCAAGAUCAUGCCAUGGCACUCCAGCCUGGGUGACAAGAGCAAAACUUCAUCUCAAAAAAAAAGAAAAGAAAAGAAAAACAAAAUGGGCCAGGCGGGCUGGGUGCAGUGGCUCAUGCCUGUAAUUCCGGCACCUUUGGGAGGCUGAGAUGGGUGGAUCACGAGGUCAGAAGUUUGAGACCAGCCUGGCCAACAUGGUGAAACCACAUCUCUACUAAAAAUAGAAAAAUUAUCCUGGCGUGGUGGCAAGCGCUUGUAAUCCCAGCUACUCGGGAGGUUGAGGCAGGAGAAUUGCUUGAACCUGGGAGGUGGAGGUUGUAGUGAGUGAAGAUCUUGCCACUGCACUCCAGCCUGGGCAACAGCCAGACUCUGUCUCAAAACAAACCAACACAAACAAACAAAAACAAACCCCAAAACCAAAAUUGAUAUUUCCCGUGUACAUUCGACCUUGACUGUUGCUCAUUCAACCCAGCCCAACUCAGUGCCCCAUCCCCUGGCCCUGAAGAGACCAUUCUGGCCCAGAAGUGUCCUGGCUCGGAGCAGCACCUUCUGCUACCACACUGGGCCUCCCUUCUCCUCAGUGCCCAAGGGGAGGCACCUCACUCUGAUCUCCCAGUGGCAUCCUAUUAUGCCUGCCAGUAAGGAUAGGCGCUUGGUCCUAGAGCAGAGUGGUCUGCCGUUGGACCAGCCCAGCACUCCAGGUGACCUCAGCCUGCCCCAGGCCUUCCUGUAGGUUGGCACUAAUUGGUUUGGCUGCAGCCUUGCAUAUUUAGCAGUUUUUAUUACUAAUAAUACAGGCAGGGUGGCCCAGGACCCCGCUGGGGGAGGUACUGCCAGGCUCCCAGCUGAGGGGCAGGCUGGCUCCAAUUCUGACUGGCUGGCCCCAGUGAUCAGAAAGAUCCAGGCCCCACCUAGUGCUUUGCUGGAGAUCUAGGCUUGGUGGGGCAGCUUGUGGGGUAAGGGGCAGGACCAGCUCAAAAGACGGGGUGGGGGCGGAGGCUCCCUCUGCAGGGCAGAGUCCUUUGGCAGCUGGGGCUGUUGGGCAUGGAGGGGUCAGUUCACAGCUCAGGGCCAGAGCACGGUAGAGGUCUCUGGGUGCACACAAGAACCAGGAGUGGAGCUGAAACAUGUCCUGUCCCCUGCCUGCCCUCCCUUAGUAACUGCUGGCAUUUCCCAAUUCCUUCCUGAGCACCAGGCACCAUGUUAUGCAUGCAAUUUGCAAAUGUUACCUGAUUGAAUGCUCAAAACAAGGCUAUCACAUAGGUACUGUAUUAUUUUUCAGAAGAUGUCUUGCUCUGUCACCCAGGCUGGAGUGCAAUGGUGCCAUCUCUGUUCACUGCAACCUCCACCUCCAGGGUUCAGGUGAAUCUCCUGCUUCAGACUUUCAAGUAGCUGGGACUAUAGCUGCCCGCCACUGCGCCUGGCUAAUUUUUGUAUUUUCAGUAAAGACAGGGUUUCCCCAUGUUGGCCGGGCUGGUCUCAAACUCCUGACCUCAAGGGAUCCACCCAUCUGGGCCUCCCAACCCUGAGUUUUUAUAAUAGGCCCCAGGCCAGGUGGUUAACAGAGGUCUGGGGCAUUGCAGGGGGACAGAGGAGGACAUAUGUCCCUAUUGGCCAUUGUAGAGUCCCUUCCACAAAAAGGAUGUCAGUCAAGUGACGUGCCCACCUCCACCCCACCCUCCCCCCCAGUCCUGGGCACUAGGACUACUUCCCAGGUGCCCUGUACCCUUCCCCGAUCUGUCCCAUGCCCUGGCCUCUGCCCGCUUUCAAAACAUAGAUGUGGCCAGCGCCUUGGCUUAUGCCUAUAAUCCCAGCACUUUCGGAAGCAGAAGGAUUGCUUGAGCCCAGGAGUUCAAGACCAGCCUGGGCAACAUAGAUCCUGUCUCAACAUAUUUUCUGCAAAAUUUUUGUUUUUCCUAGACAGAGUCUCCUUCUGUCACCCAGGCUGGAGUGCAGUGGCACGAUCUUGGCUCACUGCAACCUCUGCCUCCCGGGUUCAAGCGAUUCUCCUGCCAAGCCUCCUGAGUAGCUGGGACUACAGGCGAGCACCACCAUGCCCAGCUAAUUUUUGUAUUUUUAGUAGAGACAGGAUUUCACCAUGUUAGCCAGGAUGGUCUCGAUCUCCUGACCUCGUGAUCCACCUGUCUCGGCCUCCCAAAGUUCUGGGAUUACAGGUGUGAGCCACCGCACCCAGCCCUACAAAAUUUUUCAAAAAUGUAUAGGUGUGGUGGCACAUGCUUGUAGUCCGAACUACUGGGGAAGCUGAGACAGGAGGAUUGGUUGAGCCCAGGAGUUUGAGGCCACAGUAAACUGUGAUGGCACCACUGCACUCCAGCCUGGGUAACAGAGUGAGACCCUGUCUCUAAAAAAGAAUUAAAAUUUUUUUUAAAUAACAAAAUGGGCUGGGCUCGGUGGCUCAUGCCUGUAAUCCCAGCACUUUGGAGGCUGAGGUGUGUGGAUCACUUGAGGCCAGGAGUUCAAGACCAGUCUGGCCAACAUGGUGAAAUCCCGUCUCUACUAAAAAUACAAAACUCAACCAGGUGUGAUGGCACAUACCUGUAAUUCUAGCUACUUGGGAGGCUGAGGCAGGAGAAUCGGCUUGAACCUGGGACACGGAGGUUGCAGUGAGCCGAGAUCGCACCACUGCACUCCAGCCUGGGCGACCAAGUGAGACUCCGUGUCUCAAAAAUAAGAACAAAAUGUAGAUGCCUACGUACCAUCUCUCUACCCUUGGCUCCUGGGGAGUAAGGGUCACCCAGUGACCUCCUAGAAGGCCAGUGACAAUGGGGGGUGUCAGAGUGCUCUUCAGAGCCAAGGGAGCAGUAGGAAUUGGGAUCUUAGUCUCUUAGUCUGACUCCAAGCUGUGAGGGAGAGAGUUGCAGGGCACUUAAGCUUGGUGGAGACCGUCAGUGCCUCCUUGCCUGUCCCUGCAGCAAAAGUUCAGGACACCAGAGCCAAGCUCAGAGGCCGUGGUGGAACAGGGGUGAAGAGCAUGGGUUCUGACUUUAAACUGCUGGGCUGCAGCCCUGGCUCUCCCUCCCCGGGUAAGGGCAGGCUGCAUGCCUCCCUGUGCCUCAGUUUCCCCCUCUUCAUAGUGGGAUUGUAUUGGUGCCUACCCCAGAGAGUUGUGUCAUCAAUUAGGAUGGCACCUGGCACCUUGGUCAGUGGCAGGAAAGGUUCCAGAAGCUCUGCUCUGGUCCCGGGGUGCCUCGGGCCCUGCCACCAUCUCCUUGGGGUGGUGCCAUGUGGUGGGAAAGACCCCAACUUCAAGGCCAGACGCAGUGGCUCAUGCCCAUAAUCCCAGCACUUUCAGAGGCCGAGAUGGGAGGAUCACCUGAGGUCAGGAGUUCAAGACCAGCCUGGCCAACAUGGUCAAACCCUGUCUGUACUAAUGAUCCAAAAAUUAGCCAGGUGUGGUGGUGCGUGUCUGUAAUACCAGCUACUCGGGAGGCUGAGGCAGGAGAAUCUCACGAACCCGGGAGGCGGAGGUUGCAGUGAGCCGAGGUUGCACUACUGCAGUCCAGCCUGGCUCUGUCUUGGUGUUCAGCCAUGUUCCCAUGCUCACUCCCAAGGUGACUCUGGGAAGGUCUCAGCCUUUUUGUCUUCCCAGUUAGGAUGGUCCCAUGCCCCUGCUACCAUCAGACUUGGUAAGUUUCCCAAGGAGACUCUGCAAGAGGCACUGUUCUGGAUGGUGGAGGAGAGACUAAUUGUUCUGCUCUCCUGGCCAGAGUGGGUGCAGUGGACCCCAUCAUGGAGAAGUUCAACACAUCCAGCCUACGACCAGCACCUGUGGGAGGUGGAUAUUCAAGGCAGCAGAGCCUACAGCCGGGGCAUGGAGAAGGCAGGGCUCCUCGCCAAGGCCGAGAUGGAUGGUGGUUGAGGAGUGGGCCCAGGGCACCUUCAAACUCAACCCCAAUGAUGAGGACAUCCACACAGCCAACAAGUGCCACCUGAAGGUACGAACCCUGCAGCCCCACUGCCUUCCUGGCCUCCCCUCUCCACCUUGCGCGGGGCCACUUUGAGCAUUAGCACCAUCAUUCUGUGAUCAUUGGUGAAACCGCAGGGAAGGCGCACAUGGGAUGGAGCUGGAAUGACCAGGUGGUCACGGACCUCAGGUUGUGGAUGUGGCAGACCUGCUUCACGCUCUCGGGCCUCCUCUGGGAGCUCAUCAGGACUAUGGGGGAUUGGGCAGAGGUGUUCCUGCUCCAGCGUGGCUCCUGGACUGGCGCCAGAUGCUGGCCCUGGGGGUUUCAAUCCAAGCAUAAUUCAGUGAAGCAUGUGUUUGGCAGUGGGACCCAGCUCACUGUUUUAGGUCAGCCCAAGACUACCCCGUCGGUCAUUCUGUUCCUGCCGUCCUGUGAGGAGCCCCAAGCCAACAAGGCCACACUGGUGUGUCUCAUGAAUAACUUUAUCCGGGAAUCUUGAUGGUGACCUGGAAGGCAGAUGGUACCCUCAUCACCCAGAGCGUGGAGAAGACCACGCCCUCCAAACAGAGCAACAACAAAUGGAGUCUCACUCUGUCGCCCAGGCUGGAGUGCAAUGGCUCGAUCUUGGCUCACCGUAACCUCUGUCUCCCAGGUUCAACCAAUUCUCCUGCCUCAGCCUCCUGAGUAGCCGGGAUUACAGGCAGCAACUGGAAACAACCCAAGUGUCCGUCAGCUAGAGAAUGGAUAGACCCAUGUGGUCUGUGCAUACAGUGGAGUACUGCUCAGUUACACAAGGAAAAGAAACUAUGGAUACAGGUCACAGGAGGGAUGAUCUUCAAAACAUUACAACAGUUGCACCUUUGUCACCCAGGCUGGAGUGCAAUGGUGUGAUCUUGGCUCACUGUGCAACCUCCGCCUCCUGGAUUCAAGCGAUUCUCCUGCCUCAGCCUCCUGAGUAGCUAGGAUUGCAGGGGGAAGGACGCACCCUGUUAUGAAUCUGAUACUGAUAUUUAUGAGACUGUGGCUGCUGCAACAUCAGAAUCCACUACUGUAGAGCCUGGCAAGCUGGAUGUGGGAGCCACGGAGGGCCAAGACCUGCAGCACAUCAGCAACCAAAAGAUGCCCACAGGUCCCCCUGAGGACCGCCUGAGUUUAAAAUUUCUGCCAUCAAGUGAGGAAGACAAUGAUGAUGCCAAGAUUUUACCAUCACCUGUCCAGG